AGAGUUUGAUCAUGGCUCAGGACGAACGCUGGCGGUGUGCUUCACACAUGCAAGUCGAACGAGGUAGCAAUACCUAGUGGCGGACGGGUGAGUAACGCGUGGGAAUCUGCCCAAGGGUGGGGGAUAACUAGCCGAAAGGUUAGCUAAUACCGCAUAUGCCGUGAGGUAAAAGGAGUAAUCCGCCCCUGGAUGAGCCUGCGUCCGAUUAGCUAGUUGGUGGGGUAAAAGCCUACCAAGGCUACGAUCGGUAGCUGGUCUGAGAGGAUGAUCAGCCACAAUGGGACUGAGACACGGCCCAUACUCCUACGGGAGGCAGCAGUGGGGAAUUUUACGCAAUGGGGGAAACCCUGACGUAGCGACACCGCGUGAGCGAAGAAGCCCUUUGGGGUGUAAAGCUCUGUCAGCAGGAACGAAUAAAUGACGGUACCUGCAGAGGAAGCAUCGGCUAACUACGUGCCAGCAGCCGCGGUAAGACGUAGGAUGCGAGCGUUGUCCGGAUUCAUUGGGCGUAAAGAGUUCGUAGGCGGUUUGUUAAGUCUGAUGUUAAAGAUCGGGGCCCAACCCUGGGAGUGCAUUGGAUACUGGCAGACUGGAGUGCAGUAGAGGCGAGUGGAAUUCCCAGUGUAGCGGUGAAAUGCGUAGAUAUUGGG
RNAcentral lists this ribosomal RNA (650 nucleotides) under uncultured bacterium. RNAcentral's name for it is "bacterial SSU rRNA". It matches the Rfam family "Bacterial small subunit ribosomal RNA", at positions 8 to 701 of the family's 1533-position model. The record is from RNAcentral.